ACUCAAUCUGCCAUACAGUAGCGGCCGCGUCUGGGAUCUGUCACUGCUGACAGCACCGCAGGGCACAGACAUGAUCUUCCGCACAACACUGCAACUCCCCAAAAUACCCUCCUCGCUCCCAGGGUGUCUACCGGGCUGCACCGCGCGCCUCCUCCAAAAGGGGGAAAUCGGCCGAGCCCCGAGCAGCCGAACACUGCGAGCUGGGCGAGAGGCAGCACCCCCGCACCCCCUCCCGCUAUUGGGAGCACACCGCCGGGGCGAGGGGCGAUGGCACGCCCUGCCGGUGCAAAGGUCGUGCAUGUAAGCGAGGGCGCCGUGAGAUCGCCGAGAAUGACUUCAGUGAAUAAUUUCAGAGACUGUUACGGCUUCGGGGAAUUUUUUGUUCAGAGAAUGUGACCCUGCAGCCGGAGGGGCUGCCGUUAUCUCUGUUUCUGCAGACGGCUCCAAACGCUCUCCCACCGCCCCGCCCUGACAGCAGCAGUGGCUGCGGCGCACAGCGGGCGAGGGCUCCGGUCGCCUUACAGAGGUAUUGCUGGCAUCUCCUCGGGGGAAGACGAGCGGAGAGAGUGGCACGAAACGUACAGAACAAUAAUGUAAAAAGUUUGGGAAAGUAAGCUUGGCACUGUCGGUCCCGCUGAGUCAUAGAAUCGUGGAAUCAUUAAGAUUGGAAGAGACCUCUAAGAUCAUCUUGUCCAACCCAUCGCCACAACGGCCACUAAACCAUUUCCCUCGGUGUCAUAUCUCCGUGUUUCUCAAACACCUCCAGGGACGAUGCCUCCAGCACACCCUGGGCACCCUGUGCCACUGAAUCACCGCUCUUUCUGAGAAGAAUUUUUUCCCAAUAUCUGACCUGCACCUUCCCUGACACAAUUUGAGGCCAUUCCCUCUAGUCCUAACGAUAAAGCCAGGGCUAACGCCUGCGCCUCGAGCGGGCCCGGCUCCCAGCGUGCCAGGACUCGGCGGGACGUAUCAGCAGGUGCAAGGCCAUCUCCAGGCAGCAGCAGCACUUGGAGCUGGAGCAGCCCACUUCCCAGCUCGCAAGAAGCCUGCGGCUUCCCGCACGUAAGCGCUGCACCUCGGGGUCAGCUGCCGGGACAUAAGGUGGAAAUCUACCUGGCCCGAUGUUUGCUUUGGAAGCGAGCAUCCACGCCGGGAGACGAAGAUAAAGCCAGCGCCGGGCCGGGGACUGAGAGGAGCGGGGGGAGCGCCCGGCUGCAACAGCGGCUUUUGUUCUUGCUUCUCCCAGGGCCAAAGGAGCACACGGCGGUGGCGAAGGAGCCCCCAGGCUCGGAGCACGGCACCGCACCGCUGCCGGGCCGGGCCUGGAGAACACCGACGGGAUGUCGCCCAGAGCGGGGAUGGCUGCGGGCAGCGUGACGUCAGUGCAGCUUCUGCUCCGCGCCGCGAGAUAGAGGCAUCAGGGCCGGGGGAGGGAGACCCUAAUCGCUCCCAGAUGGCUCUAAUAGCAGAUAUAAAGACUUACACAGAGUCCGAGAAUAAAUUUGUAAUCAAUGCUC
Tympanuchus pallidicinctus (lesser prairie-chicken) is the source of this 1517-nucleotide long non-coding RNA. RefSeq lists it as uncharacterized. NCBI's taxonomy places the organism in Eukaryota, Metazoa, Chordata, Aves, Galliformes, Phasianidae. The record is from RefSeq and is a predicted model, not a curated record. The transcript has 2 exons.